Long non-coding RNA from Oncorhynchus keta (chum salmon), 3055 nucleotides. RefSeq lists it as uncharacterized. The record is from RefSeq and is a predicted model, not a curated record. Lineage: Eukaryota; Metazoa; Chordata; Actinopteri; Salmoniformes; Salmonidae. The transcript has 3 exons.
CACCUGUGUGGCUAUUUCUGCAGUGGAUCUAUAAAGACCUGCCCACUAUAAACGGGAUAUGGUUUCAGUGGAUCUGUAAACCUUGAGCCCUCUAAACAGGAUUUGGUUUCAGUGGAUCUAUAAAGACCUGUCCACUCUAAACAGGGUUUGGUUUCAGUGGAUCUAUAAACCCUGAGCCCUCUAAACAAGGUUUGUUUUUCUGACAAGGUCAACGGCGAGAGAAGAGAUAUUUAUCAUUUAGCAGAGAACGAGGAGGUUGGUUGGAGCUGCUGUUAGACAGUUUUAUAGGACAAUGUGUGUUAACAGGUUUGGUGCUGCAUAGUGCUGCCUGUUUGGGCUACACCGCCUGGGAUAACAGGUUUGGUGCUGCAUAGUGCUGCCUGUUUGGGCUACACCGCCUGGGAUAACAGGUUUGGUGCUGCAUAGUGCUGCCUGUUUGGGCUACACCGCCUGGGAUAACAGGUUUGGUGCUGCAUAGUGCUGCCUGUUUGGGCUACACCGCCUGGGAUAACAGGUUUGGUGCUGCAUAGUGCUGCCUGUUUGGGCUACACCGCCUGGGAUAACAGGUUUGGUGCUGCAUAGUGCUGCCUGUUUGGGCUACACCGCCUGGGAUAACAGGUUUGGUGCUGCAUAGUACUGCCUGUUUGGGCUACGCCGCCUGGGAUAACAGGUUUGGUGCUGCAUAGUGCUGCCUGUUUGGGCUACACCGCCUGGGAUAACAGGUUUGGUGCUGCAUAGUGCUGCCUGUUUGUGCUACACCGCCUGGGAUAACAGGUUUGGUGCUGCAUAGUGCUGCCUGUUUGGGCUACACCGCCUGGGAUAACAGGUUUGGUGCUGCAUAGUGCUGCCUGUUUGGGCUACACCGCCUGGGAUAACAGGUUUGGUGCUGCAUAGUGCUACCUGUUUGGGCUACACCACCUGGGAUAACAGGUUUGGUUCUGCAUAGUGCUGCCUGUUUGAGCUACACCACCUGGGAUAACAGGUUUGGUGCUGCAUAGUGGUGCCUGUUUGGGCUACACCGCCUGGGAUAACAGGUUUGGUGCUGCAUAGUGCUGCCUGUUUGGGCUACACCGCCUGGGAUAACAGGUUUGGUGCUGCAUAGUGCUGCCUGUUUGUGCUACACCGCCUGGGAUAACAGGUUUGGUGCUGCAUAGUGCUGCCUGUUUGGGCUACACCGCCUGGGAUAACAGGUUUGGUGCUGCAUAGUGCUGCCUGUUUGGGCUACACCGCCUGGGAUAACAGGUUUGGUGCUGCAUAGUGCUACCUGUUUGGGCUACACCACCUGGGAUAACAGGUUUGGUUCUGCAUAGUGCUGCCUGUUUGAGCUACACCACCUGGGAUAACAGGUUUGGUGCUGCAUAGUGGUGCCUGUUUGGGCUACACCGCCUGGGAUAACAGGUUUGGUGCUGCAUAGUGCUGCCUGUUUGGGCUACACCGCCUGGGAUAACAGGUUUGGUGCUGCAUAGUGCUGCCUGUUUGGGCUACACCGCCUGGGAUAACAGGUUUGGUGCUGCAUAGUGCUGCCUGUUUGGGCUACACCGCCUGGGAUAACAGGUUUGGUGCUGCAUAGUGCUGCCUGUUUGGGCUACACCGCCUGGGAUAACAGGUUUGGUGCUGCAUAGUACUGCCUGUUUGGGCUAAGCCGCCUGGGAUAACAGGUUUGGUGCUGCAUAGUACUGCCUGUUUGGGCUACACCGCCUGGGAUAACAGGUUUGGUGCUGCAUAGUGCUGCCUGUUUGGGCUACACCGCCUGGGAUAACAGGUUUGGUGCUGCACAGUGCUGCCUGUUUGGGCUACGCCGCCUGGGAUAACAGGUUUGGUGCUGCAUAGUGCUGCCUGUUUGGGCUACACCGCCUGGGAUAACAGGUUUGGUGCUGCAUAGUGCUGCCUGUUUGUGCUACACCGCCUGGGAUAACAGGUUUGGUGCUGCAUAGUGCUGCCUGUUUGGGCUACACCGCCUGGGAUAACAGGUUUGGUGCUGCAUAGUGCUGCCUGUUUGGGCUACACCGCCUGGGAUAACAGGUUUGGUGCUGCAUAGUGCUACCUGUUUGGGCUACACCACCUGGGAUAACAGGUUUGGUUCUGCAUAGUGCUGCCUGUUUGAGCUACACCACCUGGGAUAACAGGUUUGGUGCUGCAUAGUGGUGCCUGUUUGGGCUACACCGCCUGGGAUAACAGGUUUGGUGCUGCAUAGUGCUGCCUGUUUGGGCUACACCACCUGGGAUAACAGGUUUGGUUCUGCAUAGUGCUGCCUGUUUGAGCUACACCACCUGGGAUAACAGGUUUGGUGCUGCAUAGUGGUGCCUGUUUGGGCUACACCGCCUGGGAUAACAGGUUUGGUGCUGCAUAGUGCUGCCUGUUUGGGCUACACCGCCUGGGAUAACAGGUUUGGUGCUGCAUAGUGCUGCCUGUUUGUGCUACACCGCCUGGGAUAACAGGUUUGGUGCUGCAUAGUGCUGCCUGUUUGGGCUACACCGCCUGGGAUAACAGGUUUGGUGCUGCAUAGUGCUGCCUGUUUGGGCUACACCGCCUGGGAUAACAGGUUUGGUGCUGCAUAGUGCUACCUGUUUGGGCUACACCACCUGGGAUAACAGGUUUGGUUCUGCAUAGUGCUGCCUGUUUGAGCUACACCACCUGGGAUAACAGGUUUGGUGCUGCAUAGUGGUGCCUGUUUGGGCUACACCGCCUGGGAUAACAGGUUUGGUGCUGCAUAGUGCUGCCUGUUUGGGCUACACCGCCUGGGAUAACAGGUUUGGUGCUGCAUAGUGCUGCCUGUUUGGGCUACACCGCCUGGGAUAACAGGUUUGGUGCUGCAUAGUGCUGCCUGUUUGGGCUACACCGCCUGGGAUAACAGGUUUGGUGCUGCACAGUGCUGCCUGUUUGGGCUACACCGCCUGGGAUAACAGGUUUGGUGCUGCAUAGUACUGCCUGUUUGGGCUAAGCCGCCUGGGAUAACAGGUUUGGUGCUGCAUAGUACUGCCUGUUUGGGCUACACCGCCUGGGAUAACAGGUUUGGUGCUGCAUAGUGCUGCCUGUUUGGGCUACACCGCCUGGG